Molecule: ribosomal RNA, 839 nt
Filed under: uncultured bacterium
Lineage: Bacteria
Description: bacterial SSU rRNA
Rfam family: Bacterial small subunit ribosomal RNA
Source: RNAcentral
CUACACAUGCAGUCGAGCGGCAGCGACACAUUGAACCUUCGGGGGAUUUGUUGGGCGGCGAGCGGCGGACGGGUGAGUAAUGCCUGGGAAAUUGCCCUGAUGUGGGGGAUAACCAUUGGAAACGAUGGCUAAUACCGCAUGAUAGCUUCGGCUCAAAGAGGGGGACCUUCGGGCCUCUCGCGUCAGGAUAUGCCCAGGUGGGAUUAGCUAGUUGGUGAGGUAAGGGCUCACCAAGGCGACGAUCCCUAGCUGGUCUGAGAGGAUGAUCAGCCACACUGGAACUGAGACACGGUCCAGACUCCUACGGGAGGCAGCAGUGGGGAAUAUUGCACAAUGGGCGCAAGCCUGAUGCAGCCAUGCCGCGUGUACGAAGAAGGCCUUCGGGUUGUAAAGUACUUUCAGCAGUGAGGAAGGAGGUAUCGUUAAUAGCGGUAUCUUUUGACGUUAGCUGCAGAAGAAGCACCGGCUAACUCCGUGCCAGCAGCCGCGGUAAUACGGAGGGUGCGAGCGUUAAUCGGAAUUACUGGGCGUAAAGCGCAUGCAGGUGGUUUGUUAAGUCAGAUGUGAAAGCCCGGGGCUCAACCUCGGAAUUGCAUUUGAAACUGGCAGGCUAGAGUACUGUAGAGGGGGGGUAGAAUUUCAGGUGUAGCGGUGAAAUGCGUAGAGAUCUGAAAGGAAUACCGGUGGCGAAAGGCGGCCCCCUGGACAGAUACUGACACUCAGAUGCGAAAGCGUGGGGAGCAAACAGAUUAGAUACCCUGUAGUCCACGCCGUAACGAUGUCUACUUGGAGGUGGUGGCCCUUGAGCCGUGGCUUUCGGAAGCUAACCGCCGUUAAGU